CACGUAGUUAGCCGGGGCUUCUUAGUCAGGUACCGUCAUUAUCUUCCCUGCUGAUAGAGCUUUACAUACCGAAAUACUUCUUCACUCACGCGGCGUCGCUGCAUCAGGGUUUCCCCCAUUGUGCAAUAUUCCCCACUGCUGCCGCCCGUAGGAGUCUGGGCCGUGUCUCAGUCCCAAUGUGGCCGUUCACUCUCUCAAGCCGGCUACUGAUCGUCGCCUUGGUAGGCCCGUUACCCCACCAACAAGCUAAUCAGACGCGGGUCCAUCUCACAGCGAUAAAUCUUUGAAAGGAUCGUCAUGCGGCAAUCCCUUGUUAUGCGGUAUUAGCAGCCGUUUCCGGCUGUUGUCCCCCUCUGUGAGGCAGGGUUACCCACGCGUUACGUUCACCCGUCCCGCCGACCUCACGUCACUUACCUACUCUUCCCUCCGAAACGUUACGUCCGGUACGCGCUUCGUUCGUACUUCGUCACUGUGUUAGUACACGACCGCC
This 490-nucleotide ribosomal RNA is filed under the name uncultured Lachnospiraceae bacterium. RNAcentral's name for it is "partial 16S ribosomal RNA". Lineage: Bacteria; Bacillati; Bacillota; Clostridia; Lachnospirales; Lachnospiraceae. The record is from RNAcentral.